GAUGCGCGUUGGCUGGCGAUCAGGAAGGUUAACACGACCCGACAGUUUAGUUCAUCAUCGAUGUUCGAGACCAUGAAAUCCGUCUGGGGAUUAGCACAAGUGCCAAAGUAUAGAGAAGCGGGUGAAAAUCUUUAUAUCUUCCAGAUGUUCUUCUUAGGAGAUUGGAAGAAAGUUGUCCAUGGAGGACCCUGGUUAUUCCGGGGGAUGGGUAUGCUCAUUGAGGAUUAUGAUGGUAAGCAAGACCCAGCAUAUUUCGUCUUCGAUGGUUUGUAUGUCUGGGCGCAGAUCCACAAUAUACCGGAACUGUACCGCAAGAUCGAGGUGGUUGAUCAACUAGCUCGACGUAUUAGCUGAGUUAAGGAAACACAACUCUCACCGAGGCUCUUUUACGAGGGUGAUUGCGUACGAGUCCGUGCUAGGAUUUUGGUCAACAAACCCCUGACGAGGGUGACUCCGCUGAAUGUGACAGGUGAGGGCAGGAAACUCCUACCUGUUAAGUACGAGAAGAUACCAUAUUUCUGCCAAGUUUGUGGUCUCAUGGGUCACAACCACGAGGAGUGUAGUGAUGGAAGGGAGGCAAAAGACAAGCAAUGGGGAGGUUGGAUGCUAGCGCAACGCAGGGAGAUACCUCAGGAGUAG
RNAcentral lists this ribosomal RNA (639 nucleotides) under Triticum aestivum (bread wheat). Its description in RNAcentral is "partial small subunit ribosomal RNA". The record is from RNAcentral. Lineage: Eukaryota; Viridiplantae; Streptophyta; Magnoliopsida; Poales; Poaceae.